This 375-nucleotide RNase P RNA is filed under the name uncultured Ruminococcus sp. Its description in RNAcentral is "Bacterial RNase P class A". It matches the Rfam family "Bacterial RNase P class A". From Rfam's summary of the family: Ribonuclease P (RNase P) is a ubiquitous endoribonuclease, found in archaea, bacteria and eukarya as well as chloroplasts and mitochondria. The record is from RNAcentral. Lineage: Bacteria; Bacillati; Bacillota; Clostridia; Eubacteriales; Oscillospiraceae.
GAGUAGGUCAGGCAGUCGCGGUCAACGGGCGAAAGCCCCUGUCCGAGGAAAGUCCGGGCUUCACAGAGCGAGGAUAACGGCUAACGGCCGCCGGGGGCGACCCCAGGGAAAGUGCAACAGAAAAUUACCGCGAAUCGUCGCGUAAUGCUCCUUAACCGAGCACAGACCGUGACGACGUAAGGGUGGAAAGGCGAGGUAAGAGCUCACCGGAGUGGGGGAGACCUCACUGCUGUGUAAACCCUAUCCGAAGCAACACCGCGGAGGGACAUACGGCCUGCUCGGCUGUCCCGUGGAGGUGGCACCGAGCCGUCGCGGCAACGCACGGCCAAGAUAGAUGACUGCCCAAUACAGAACCCGGCUUAUAGAUCUACUCAU